This 274-nucleotide ribosomal RNA is filed under the name uncultured bacterium. RNAcentral describes it as "partial 16S ribosomal RNA". It matches the Rfam family "Bacterial small subunit ribosomal RNA", at positions 523 to 796 of the family's 1533-position model. The record is from RNAcentral.
AUACGGAGGGUGCAAGCGUUAAUCGGAAUUACUGGGCGUAAGGCGUACGUAGGCGGUUUGUUAAGUCAGAUGUGAAAGCCCCGGGCUUAACCUGGGAACUGCAUUUGAAACUAGUAGACUAGAGUAUGGUAGAGGGGGGUAGAAUUCCUAGUGUAGCGGUGAAAUGCGUAGAUAUUAGGAGGAAUACCAGUGGCGAAGGCGGCCCCCUGGACCAAUACUGACGCUGAGGUACGAAAGCGUGGGGAGCGAACAGGAUUAGAUACCCGAGUAGUCC